This 254-nucleotide ribosomal RNA is filed under the name uncultured prokaryote. Its description in RNAcentral is "partial 16S ribosomal RNA". It matches the Rfam family "Bacterial small subunit ribosomal RNA", at positions 522 to 775 of the family's 1533-position model. The record is from RNAcentral.
AAUACGGAGGGUGCAAGCGUUAUCCGGAUUCACUGGGUUUAAAGGGUGCGUAGGUGGGUUGGUAAGUCAGUGGUGAAAUCUCCGAGCUUAACUUGGAAACUGCCGUUGAUACUAUCAAUCUUGAAUAUCGCGUAGGUAAGCGGAAUAUGUCAUGUAGCGGUGAAAUGCUUAGAUAUGACAUAGAACACCAAUUGCGAAGGCAGCUUACUUCACGAUCAUUGACACUGAGGCACGAAAGCGUGGGGAGCAAACAG